UACGUAGGGUGCAGGCGUUAAUCGGAAUUACUGGGCGUAAAGCGUGCGCAGGCGGUUUGCUAAGACAGGUGUGAAAUCCCCGGGCUUAACCUGGGAACUGCGCUUGUAACUGGCAAGCUAGAGUGUGGCAGAGGGGGGUGGAAUUCCACGUGUAGCAGUGAAAUGCGUAGAUAUGUGGAGGAAUACCGAUGGCGAAGGCAGCCCCCUGGGAUCAACACU
Molecule: ribosomal RNA, 219 nt
Filed under: uncultured bacterium
Lineage: Bacteria
Description: partial 16S ribosomal RNA
Rfam family: Bacterial small subunit ribosomal RNA
Source: RNAcentral